UUGCCUUCCCAAGAUCGCUCGCACACCUGUCACGUUCAUGAUCGGCCUCCUCAACUGUGUAUCGAUCGAAAGGAAGGGCGACAGAGCCCCCAACCGACGGGAGUAGUUACGUCCAGUAUGCCCCCCCUCGAUUCCCGACAUGCUAUGAUACCAGGGUGGGUAGGAGCGGGUCGAGUUCGUAUCACCGCGGAACAACUGCAGCGUCCUGAUCUGAUCUAUCUACUCGGCAAUUCAUCUAGUGACUUCACGGUUGCCAAAGAAGCCCCAAGAAGCACAAGUGUGGAAAAGGAUAGUAACCUUGCCCCUUCUAUCUUUUUCUCUCAAUUUUUCUUUUUUUUGCUUGGGCUCUUUUGGCAUUUUUUUAUUUCCUCACUAGGACAAUGCUCUAAUAAUGAUGAUCAUCACACUUCUAUUUAUUUACAACUCGAUAAAACCGAAAAGUAUGACUCUAUAUGA
This 456-nucleotide ribosomal RNA is filed under the name Triticum aestivum (bread wheat). RNAcentral describes it as "partial small subunit ribosomal RNA". Lineage: Eukaryota; Viridiplantae; Streptophyta; Magnoliopsida; Poales; Poaceae. The record is from RNAcentral.